AUACGGAGGAUGCGAGCGUUAUCCGGAUUUAUUGGGUUUAAGGGUGCGUAGGCUGUGCGUUAAGUCAGGGGUGAAAUGCCGUCGCUCAACGACGGAGCUGCCCUUGAUACUGGCGUGCUGGAGUACGGAUGCCGUUGGAGGAAUGAGUGGUGUAGCGGUGAAAUGCUUAGAUAUCACUCAGAACACCGAUUGCGAAGGCAUCUGACGAAUCCGUCACUGACGCUGAGGCACGAAAGCGUGGGGAUAGAACAGGAUUAGAUACCCUGGUAUUCCACGCCGUAAACGAUGAUGACUAACCGUCGGCGAUAGACAGCCGGUGGCCAAGCGAAAGCGAUAAGUCAUCCACCUGGGGAGUACGUCGGCAACGAUGAAACUCAAAUGAAUUGACGGGG
This 392-nucleotide ribosomal RNA is filed under the name uncultured bacterium. RNAcentral's name for it is "partial 16S ribosomal RNA". It matches the Rfam family "Bacterial small subunit ribosomal RNA", at positions 523 to 918 of the family's 1533-position model. The record is from RNAcentral.